Molecule: long non-coding RNA, 557 nt
Organism: Capsella rubella
Lineage: Eukaryota; Viridiplantae; Streptophyta; Magnoliopsida; Brassicales; Brassicaceae
Exons: 4
Source: RefSeq, a predicted model, not a curated record
CGAGUUAACAAAACGAUUAUUAUUUUCUGUUUUGUCAAACGAAACAAAAUUCCCAAAUCGACACGAUAUUCCUCUUUGGAACCCUAGUUUCAGAGAACUCAACGAUGAAGGAUCUCGUCUCUCUCUCAAUGACCGCCGAUGAGGACAUUCUAGUUGGAUUUUUGAUGGCUGGAAUUGGUAAUGUUGAUUUUUGAUUCAAGCUCUUCGGUAGAAGAAGAAGGCAAUGCAGCGAUUGAUAUAAAAAAGCAACCAAAGAGAUCUGAGGCAACCCUUCUCUCCUCUAGUUUGUGAUCUUUACACAAAAAGGAUGUUUCAGCUUUUGUUGUCUCCCUACUCCACAAUUACCAUGCCUGAUGGUCGUGAGGAAUCUGUCAUGAAACGUACCACACUUGUUGCCAACACUUCUAAGUUAGAAGUUCUAACGUACCACACUUGUUUCAUUCAUGUUCUCUUUCUUGUGUUUUUGAACCAAACAACUUACCAAUUGAUCAAUUUAGCCAUAUAUUAACUACACAUGAUCUAUUAAAGUUUGUCAUUUUAAUGUUUAUGUUUCUAUC